ACGCUGGCGGCAGGCUUAACACAUGCAAGUCGAACGGUAACAGGAAUUAGCUUGCUAAUUUGCUGACGAGUGGCGGACGGGUGAGUAAUGCUUGGGAAUCUGGCUUAUGGAGGGGGAUAACUACGGGAAACUGUAGCUAAUACCGCGUAAAAUCUUCGGAUUAAAGGGUGGGACUUUCGAGCCACCUGCCAUAAGAUGAGCCCAAGUGGGAUUAGGUAGUUGGUUAGGUAAAGGCUGACCAAGCCGACGAUCUCUAGCUGGUCUGAGAGGAUGACCAGCCACACUGGAACUGAGACACGGUCCAGACUCCUACGGGAGGCAGCAGUGGGGAAUAUUGCACAAUGGGGGGAACCCUGAUGCAGCCAUGCCGCGUGAAUGAAGAAGGCCUUCGGGUUGUAAAGUUCUUUCGGUGACGAGGAAGGUUGAUAGGUUAAUAGACCUAUCAAAUUGACGUUAAUCACAGAAGAAGCACCGGCUAACUCCGUGCCAGCAGCCGCGGUAAUACGGGGGGUGCGAGCGUUAAUCGGAAUAACUGGGCGUAAAGGGCACGCAGGCGGUGACUUAAGUGAGAUGUGAAAGCCCCGAGCUUAACUUGGGAAUUGCAUUUCAUACUGGGUCGCUAGAGUACUUUAGGGAGGGGUAGAAUUCCACGUGUAGCGGUGAAAUGCGUAGAGAUGUGGAGGAAUACCGAAGGCGAAGGCAGCCCCUUGGGAAUGUACUGACGCUCAUGUGCGAAAGCGUGGGGAGCAAACAGGAUUAGAUACCCUGGUAGUCCACGCUGUAAACGAUGUCGAUUUGGGGAUUGGGCUUUGAGCUUGGUGCCCGUAGCUAACGUGAUAAAUCGACCGCCUGGGGAGUACGGCCGCAAGGUUAAAACUCAAAUGAAUUGACGGGGGCCCGCACAAGCGGU
Molecule: ribosomal RNA, 910 nt
Filed under: uncultured bacterium
Lineage: Bacteria
Description: bacterial SSU rRNA
Rfam family: Bacterial small subunit ribosomal RNA
Source: RNAcentral